GCCGGUACUGCGGCUGCUCGCUCGCUUAGCAUAUGCCUUGCCAGGGGAGAAGCGUCCAAGCUUUCCUUGGGGGUGGGGGGACGCUGGAUGAUGUGCGCCUUUCAGUUUAUUUGGGGCGCCAAAAUGAUGAAGCUGCUGUGGCUUACGCAUCAGAGUGAGGUCCUUGUAAAGCUGUCCUGACUGCAGCAGCAGGCUUCGCGUCGCUUUCCCGCGAUGAAAACGCUUUUGGGCACAAGAGGAGUCUUGCUCCAUCCCCAACAUCUCCCACAGCUUCCGUAUUUCAGAGGUUAAUAUCUGCAGGGAGAAGGGCAUGGAGCUAAAGCGGACAACCUUUCUACCAUAGGGCACCCCUUUCCCUUCAAAAUGGUUUCCCCAUCCCAGCUGCCUUGGCUAAAAGGCGCUCGGCGGAUGCUGCUGGAACAAGGCACCGUUUCCGAAGGGAAAUGGAAUCCUGGAAUCUGGAAUGAAGUGCCAGCAUAGAGCUUGCUAGGGAAGCUCCGUUCCCCCUGUUUGUAAAGCCUGUAAAACGAAAGGACGGAGAGGGUGUUAUCUCUUUGGGUCAGAAAAAAAAAACCCCAGGCUGCAUCGUUUUCCUAGGCAAAAUUAUCUUCAAACAGCUUGUGGCAGUUAUUUCAGACCACCUCUUAAUCUGUUGUCCUGAUAAUUGCUAUCAAGCGCAAGAGAGUUGGAGAUAUUCGUCAUUCUACCCUCUCAGCUGUCAUUUUGUCCAUUGACCCAAUUAAGAAAAUGAAGAGCACAGUAAUCACGUCCGCUCUGCAACCUGGAAUGGGAAUUGGCAGUUCUUGCACCAGCUACUGAAUGUGUGACCAGAUAAAGGCAGCAGGCUAUUGACCAUGGAUAAGAAAUGGAGUAUUUUUACUUUUCCUCCUCCUCUUUCUUCUUUUUAAUUUAAAGAGACAGAGGAAUUCUGGAUUUACUGUUUUUUAAGGUUGCAUGGAGAUCUUAACAUUUGGAUGGGGCUGAAAAUCUCCCUGAGAAAUUACAGUUUAUCAUUUCAGAAUGUUUGGGAUAUAUUAUUGCAAACCUUGCCUUAUAAAUGCCUUCUGCAAUAAAGUCACAAAUACCCAGAGUUAAUCUUGUGAA
Molecule: long non-coding RNA, 1104 nt
Filed under: Salvator merianae (Argentine black and white tegu)
Lineage: Eukaryota; Metazoa; Chordata; Lepidosauria; Squamata; Teiidae
Description: lncRNA (ENSSMRG00000014781.1)
Source: RNAcentral